Molecule: ribosomal RNA, 466 nt
Filed under: uncultured bacterium
Lineage: Bacteria
Description: partial 16S ribosomal RNA
Rfam family: Bacterial small subunit ribosomal RNA
Source: RNAcentral
GAUGAACGCUGGCAGCGUGCUUAACACAUGCAAGUCGAACGAUGAAGCCCAGCUUGCCGGGUGGAUUAGUGGCGAACGGGUGAGUAACACGUGAGUAACCUGCCCUUAACUCUGGGAUAAGCCUGGGAAACUGGGUCUAAUACCGGAUAGGAGCGUCCACCGCAUGGUGGGUGUUGGAAAGAUUUAUCGGUUUUGGAUGGACUCGCGGCCUAUCAGCUUGUUGGUGAGGUAAUGGCUCACCAAGGCGACGACGGGUAGCCGGCCUGAGAGGGUGACCGGCCACACUGGGACUGAGACACGGCCCAGACUCCUACGGGAGGCAGCAGUGGGGAAUAUUGCACAAUGGGCGCAAGCCUGAUGCAGCGACGCCGCGUGAGGGAUGACGGCCUUCGGGUUGUAAACCUCUUUCAGUAGGGAAGAAGCGAAAGUGACGGUACCUGCAGAAGAAGCACCGGCUAACUACGUG